This 254-nucleotide ribosomal RNA is filed under the name uncultured bacterium. RNAcentral describes it as "partial 16S ribosomal RNA". It matches the Rfam family "Bacterial small subunit ribosomal RNA", at positions 524 to 776 of the family's 1533-position model. The record is from RNAcentral.
UACGUAGGGAGCGAGCGUUGUCCGGAUUCAUUGGGCGUAAAGAGCUCGUAGGCGGCUUGGCAAGUCGGGUGUGAAAACUCCAGGCUCAACCUGGAGACGCCACCCGAUACUGCCAUGGCUAGAGUCCGGUAGGGGACCACGGAAUUCCUGGUGUAGCGGUGAAAUGCGCAGAUAUCAGGAGGAACACCGGUGGCGAAGGCGGCUUGCUGGGCCAGUUCUGACGCUGAGGAGCGAAAGCGUGGGGAGCGAACAGG